AAGACUCAUACGGACUUCGGCUAC
Molecule: non-coding RNA, 24 nt
Filed under: Arabidopsis thaliana (thale cress)
Lineage: Eukaryota; Viridiplantae; Streptophyta; Magnoliopsida; Brassicales; Brassicaceae
Source: RNAcentral